CUUCAAAUAUAAAAAUACAUGCAGACCAAAAAUAUGUCAUCAUGGCUAAAUAACAGAGUAAAGAGGCAGUGAGAGGCUAAAAGGCAUCUUUUAAAAAUUGGAAGUUAAAUCCUACUGAGUAAAAUAGAAAGGAGCAUAAACUCUAGCAAGCCAAGUGUAAAAGU
Long non-coding RNA from Dermochelys coriacea (leatherback sea turtle), 164 nucleotides. RefSeq lists it as uncharacterized. The record is from RefSeq and is a predicted model, not a curated record. Lineage: Eukaryota; Metazoa; Chordata; Testudines; Dermochelyidae. The transcript is spliced from 3 exons.